UAGAAUAUGCCAUGUUCAUUUGAGUUGC
RNAcentral lists this small RNA (28 nucleotides) under Bombyx mori (domestic silkworm). RNAcentral describes it as "ovarian small RNA-21837". The record is from RNAcentral. Lineage: Eukaryota; Metazoa; Arthropoda; Insecta; Lepidoptera; Bombycidae.